Molecule: ribosomal RNA, 492 nt
Filed under: uncultured bacterium
Lineage: Bacteria
Description: partial 16S ribosomal RNA
Rfam family: Bacterial small subunit ribosomal RNA
Source: RNAcentral
AGUGAACGCUGGCGGUAGGCCUAACACAUGCAAGUCGAACGGCAGCACAGUAAGAGCUUGCUCUUACGGGUGGCGAGUGGCGGACGGGUGAGGAAUACAUCGGAAUCUACUUUUUCGUGGGGGAUAACGUAGGGAAACUUACGCUAAUACCGCAUACGACCUACGGGUGAAAGCAGGGGAUCUUCGGACCUUGCGCGAUUGAAUGAGCGGAUGUCGGAUUAGCUAGUUGGCGGGGUAACGGCUCACCAAGGCGACGAUCCGUAGCUGGUCUGAGAGGAUGAUCAGCCACACUGGAACUGAGACACGGUCCAGACUCCUACGGGAGGCAGCAGUGGGGAAUAUUGGACAAUGGGCGCAAGCCUGAUCCAGCCAUACCGCGUGGGUGAAGAAGGCCUUCGGGUUGUAAAGCCCUUUUGUUGGGAAAGAAAAGCAGCAGGUUAAUACCCCGCUGUUCUGACGGUACCCAAAGAAUAAGCACCGGCUAACUUCGUG